This 1287-nucleotide ribosomal RNA is filed under the name metagenome. Its description in RNAcentral is "bacterial SSU rRNA". It matches the Rfam family "Bacterial small subunit ribosomal RNA", at positions 242 to 1520 of the family's 1533-position model. The record is from RNAcentral.
UAGCUAGUUGGUGAGGUAAAGGCUUACCAAGGCGACGAUCUGUAGCGGGUCUGAGAGGAUGAUCCGCCACACUGGAACUGAGACACGGUCCAGACUCCUACGGGAGGCAGCAGUGGGGAAUUUUGGACAAUGGGGGCAACCCUGAUCCAGCCAUGCCGCGUGAGUGAAGAAGGCCUUCGGGUUGUAAAGCUCUUUCGGCCGGGAAGAAAUCGCAUGGGCCAAUACCCUGUGUGGAUGACGGUACCGGAAUAAGAAGCACCGGCUAACUACGUGCCAGCAGCCGCGGUAAUACGUAGGGUGCGAGCGUUAAUCGGAAUUACUGGGCGUAAAGCGUGCGCAGGCGGUUUUGUAAGACAGGCGUGAAAUCCCCGGGCUUAACCUGGGAACUGCGUUUGUGACUGCAAGGCUAGAGUACGGCAGAGGGGGGUGGAAUUCCACGUGUAGCAGUGAAAUGCGUAGAGAUGUGGAGGAACACCAAUGGCGAAGGCAGCCCCCUGGGUCGAUACUGACGCUCAUGCACGAAAGCGUGGGUAGCAAACAGGAUUAGAUACCCUGGUAGUCCACGCCCUAAACUAUGUCAACUAGGUGUUGGGUGGGUAAAACCAUUUAGUACCGUAGCUAACGCGUGAAGUUGACCGCCUGGGGAGUACGGCCGCAAGGUUAAAACUCAAAGGAAUUGACGGGGACCCGCACAAGCGGUGGAUGAUGUGGAUUAAUUCGAUGCAACGCGAAAAACCUUACCUACCCUUGACAUGCCAGGAACUUGCCAGAGAUGGCUUGGUGCCCGAAAGGGAACCUGGACACAGGUGCUGCAUGGCUGUCGUCAGCUCGUGUCGUAAGAUGUUGGGUUAAGUCCCGCAACGAGCGCAACCCUUGUCGUUAAUUGCCAUCAUUUGGUUGGGCACUUUAACGAGACUGCCGGUGACAGACCGGAGGAAGGUGGGGAUGACGUCAAGUCCUCAUGGCCCUUAUGGGUAGGGCUUCACACGUCAUACAAUGGUCGGUACAAAGGGUUGCCAAGCCGCGAGGCGGAGCCAAUCCCAGAAAGCCGAUCGUAGUCCGGAUUGCAGGCUGCAACUCGCCUGCAUGAAGUCGGAAUCGCUAGUAAUCGUGGAUCAGCAUGUCACGGUGAAUACGUUCCCGGGUCUUGUACACACCGCCCGUCACACCAUGGGAGCGGGUUCCGCCAGAAGUAGGUAGCCUAACCGCAAGGAGGGCGCUUACCACGGCGGGGUUCGUGACUGGGGUGAAGUCGAAACAAGGUAGCCGUAGGGGAACCUGCGGCUG